This 5413-nucleotide long non-coding RNA is filed under the name Homo sapiens (human). RNAcentral's name for it is "HSALNT0012535". Lineage: Eukaryota; Metazoa; Chordata; Mammalia; Primates; Hominidae. The record is from RNAcentral.
CAUUCCCCAGGAUCCACUGCUGGGAACUAUAGUCACCCUGGAAACCACUGGUGCAGAAGCCCUGGUCCUGGGGAAGGCAAGGCAGAGAUGACGCUGGUCCCAAUCCCAUUUGCUGUGCCUAAAGAUAGGCGUUUAUACCUCACCCACAACUCCUCCUCUUCUGUGACGUCAUUUUAUCCUUGAAAUGACCUUCCCAGAUAAACAAGUAUUGGAUUCAUCUCUCAACAGAUGAAGAAAUUCAGAUUCAAAAAAUAAAAUGACAUAAUCUAGGAUCACCGGGUGGGGUUCUGGCAUCCUGAGUCCUGUCCUCUGCACUGGACUCCACUCCCCAUCUCUCGUCCUCCCCAGCCCCUGCCUCCUGCUCUCAGCACCUACUGCCCUGAUGACCAGCCAGAGCAGGCCUGGGGGGUGGAGGUCAGUGGUCAGUGGGGCCAAGGGCUGAGCCCCACAAAGCCCAGGCUAGCUAAGCAAACCCUGCACAGAGCUCUAGGCCCCGGGACUUAGAAGCUUGAGCAGCGGAGGGAGGUUCCCAUAGGGAGAUGUGGACCUGCCUACCCCACCCUCCCUGACACCUUGGCACACCGCCCCUCCUGUUCCCCAUUUUUCCCAGGAUGAGGCUGAAGUGGCCACAAAUGAGGCCCCAGGACAACAUGGCCCACUCAGAAAGGCCGGUUGGUCCAAACGCAUGCCCCUCCAUUCUCUGUGGAGUCCAUACCACUUCUUAUCACCACCAUCACUGCCUCACCAGGGGCCCAACUGGGGGGUGGGGGAGGAAGCUGGUGAAGAAGAAGGAGGAGGAGGAGCCCGGGCUUCCCCUCUGAGACUCAUACCUGGCUGGUAUAGGCGGAGGGUGGCAGGGGGUACUUCUUGCCGUGGAUCUCGAAGACAGCCGUGGGAAUGCUGCUCAGGCGCCCGCAGUCGAUGUCAAACUAAAGAACCAAGGGAGGCCCUCUUAGAAGCGGCGAGUAAGUAAGCUGACUGAAGGGGUUCCGGAAGGGCCCAGAACCCCUCCUGCCACCCCAUGAGCCAUGGGGUGGGGAGAGGGCCCUGCCUACACCUAGGACCACAGGGAGGCUCUCAGGGUGAGGCCUGGUCCUGAGACAUGGUUCUCAAAAGAGUCAUAGCUGUCAUCAACCCAGGGACAGACCCAAGCUUGGGACCCAAGGGGGUUGCCUCUGUGUCUCCCCAUCUAGGCCCAGCCAGAGCUCACAGGGAUGCUGGGAGCAUUUGGCUGUCAAGGGGAGAAGAACAGACUCGGGGGUGGAGGAGGAAGAAGGGGCACAGCACAGUCCAGCGCGUCAGGGAGGGCACCACUCCCAGAGGAACAGGAGGUCAGACGGCAGCCGCUACCUGAGGCAUGGAGGCUCCCACGGCAAUGAAGCCAAAGCCAAAGGCCCCAGCAGAGGCCUCCGGAGAAACCCCAACCUCGGCUGGGAAACGGGCUCCCUAACCACCCCUGCAUCAUCUCGUUUGUGUGAAGGGGCCCCCACUUCAAGGCAACCUUGUGGGGCGGUGGGGCCUGACCUCACCUCAUUGUACUGGCCCGCAGUGGCUCCAAUGGCCUGCUGGAUGUUGAGGAUGUUGCCGCCAGGCCCCACCAGCAGGGAGGUGCCGGUGUCCAGGAUGGCCUGACAGCCACCGUCACAGGCCACCACCACGCCGUCAAUGAUGACACUUCCAAAGGUAUGCAAGAUGGCCUCAUCCAGCCCUCCCUCCCCAGGUCCUUCCUACCCUCCCCUGCCAGGAUCUGCAGUAGGGAGGGAAGGCCCCCAGCCCUCAGCCCCUUCCCUGGGGCCCCUUCCUGGAGGCCCCAGUACUUUCUGAGCCCAGAGAAAAAACCUAAAACCAUUUUCUUCCAAUUCAGUGGCUAAAUUGAGGACAUCCCACUUUCCAUGGGACAGAAACUUCAAUAAAACAACAAAUUCACCCACAUUAAGGAGUAGAGCGAGUAGCAUACUGGUUGCCUGAGAUCUGGUUUCAAGUUUUUGCUCUGCCAUUUACUUGCUGUGUGUCUCCAGCAAGUUACCCAACCUUUGUGUACUCAGGCUUCCCUUCUACAAAAUGGGUACAUUAAUAACCCCUUCUUUGACUUCCUCAAGAGGUGGUCCUGAGGUUCAAACUCAAUGUUAGUCCAUUAUAAAGUGGGGUAAUAGUAGCACCCACCUCAUGGUGUCUCAGUGAGGAAUAAAUGAGACAGUCAUAUAAUCGUUCAGCACAGCGCCUAGCAGGCAGUAGAUGCCCCAGAAAGGCAGCUGGUCUUGUUCAUAAAGCACAGGUAGAAUAUGUGGCACUAGCACCGACAAAGGUCACCAACCUUGGAAGUGUCUAGUUCAGCUUCUCAUGGGUGGUCUUACCAGCUACUGUGCUGCAGUCCUCAGAGUGUGGUGGGCUGACGCCCGGGCCCUCACAUCCCCACAGCUGGAUCAGCCUCUGGCUGAGGCCCACACAGUGUGGCCGCUCACCCACCUGUCCACAGUGAACUGCCAGUAUUCUUGCAGUCAUGGGUAUCCAGUGCAGGGAGCCCACUUCCGGAGCACUGCCUUGGGCUCCUAGAACUCAUCCAGCCCAUCCCAGCUCCCGGCUCUGGUACACGCUUUCUCCCCAGACGGCACCCACUCCUCCCUCAGCAAAGACUGCCCUGGCUGCCCUCGGCUGGGCCUUCCCCUGUUACUCAGCCUCUGACACACCCAAAUCUCCCCUGCUGCACCCUUAUCACACUGUUUGAUUACAAUAGUGUAUGUAAUGGUGUGCUGUCUGCUUCUCCUGCUAAAAUGUUAACUGCCAGUUUGUCUUAUCUGCUGAUGUGUCCCCAUCUCUGGCAGAGCCUCUGCACAUAGUAAGGGCCCAGUAAGUAUCUACUGGGUGAAUAAAUGCAUGAGUGAAUGCACUAAUUAGCCCCCUAACUGCAUUCUCCUGCCUCGGCCAUCCAGCAACUUCUCCUGGGGAGGGUCUCUUUCUCUCCUCCCUGCCAUCCUCCCCUCUUUCUGAGCCAAGCUGCAUCAUCACGGGGUGCAGGGAGGUAGAGUAGGAAGCACAGGCCUGGGAGCAGGAGCCCCAGGCUCCAGGCCUGGCUCAGCCGCCACCACUCAGGGUGUUGGUCCCUCCCCAAGCCUCAGCUUCCUCCCUAGUGAAAGGAGUAGGUUGGACUCCUUUGGAGUCAGCUCUAAAAGUCUGUGCAUCUCAGUGACAUUAGCAAACGGUUAUUGAGGCCCUGCCACUUUGGGAAAAAGAACUUGAAAGCCCCUGUGCAGAGGUGGAAUCGGGCUUUGUUUUUUGAGUGCCAGAAAGGAAAGUCAAAUUUUGAUCCAGUGAACUCUGGCUGUACAAAUGACUGUAUCAUGGGCCUUUGGACAAGAGGUUGGAUGUGCCUGGAAAGGAGAAGGUUUGCUUGGAUGCUGGUGACUACCCUUGAGUGUCCCCAAGGAGUGGACAGUCCUUACAAGGACAUCAAACUUAGGCCCCGGCUGGGCACAGCUCUUACCUACUCAUGUAGACUGAGAACAGGUCUUGGGCCACCAGGUGCCUCUGCAUCGUGUUGUCAAACACUGGCACUGACUACUCAGAGGCAAGAGAGGGAUAGGCCAGCCCCAGGAUCCCAUCAAACUCGGAGUAGGUGAAGACGUCGCCAGGUUCCUGGGUGCUCAGACCCACAGUCUGGUGGGGGUCCACAAUGUUGGAGACCUGCAAGAGAAUCAUGACCUCCACUAGGUCCUGCAGCCAGAGACAGAAACAUCCCAGGCAUGAGGGCAGCCAGUCCCAGGUCAGGAGCCAGUAUCGCAGUUCCAGUUCCUUUCCUCUUAUAGGCAACAUAGUUAUUUGCCCUUAAGAGACAGAAAAAAACAAAAACAAAAAACAGCAACAAAAAAAACCCACCUCUCCUUUCCCGGCAGUUAGUGCAAUGAUCUUGAGGAAUUGUUCUAAUGAGGCAGGGGAGGAGGGGAACAGAGGACAAGGUGGACACAGACCCUGGUGCUCAUUGUGCAAAAGUUGGGACUGAGCUCAAAGAAGGGGGCAGAAUGAGGGAUGCUCCAAGGCCCUCUGCAGGCCUGCAGCCCUCCCACCAGCUAUGUCUGGAACACCUCCCAGCAAAAAGCCAUAGAAGCAGCAGGAAGUCCAAAAAGAACAUGCACACGCUUUAUGUCUCCAAGACCCAGGUGUAGGCUCCUGUUCUGCCAUGUGCUAACUGUGUGACCUUGGACAAGUACCUGCCCAACCUCAAUCCCCUUAUCUGUUUAAGGGAAUAGUAAUACCUACAUCUCACAUCUCAAGGCAGGGCUUUGACUAAAUAAUACUAACACUGAACAUUUAUUGACAUUUACUAAGUGAUUAUUGAAUAUGGAUCAGCACUAUGCUAAGAAAGUGCUAACUCCAAAAUAUUUUCUUAAUCUGCCCACUUCUUCAGAUGCCCAAUGUAUCCACCAGCCUACUCUGACCACUACUGCCUCUUGUCCCAAAGUGGUCAGGACACCUCUCCUGCUUCCACAUGAGACCCCUGAGGGAAGCUUUCCCCGACCCCCUGCCCAAGGUAGUGAGUGAUAGCAGCCCACUGCAGCACUGCUGAGGUUCCAGGCACUGGGCCAGCUCUCCAGUGAAGAUGCACUGAAAAUAGCAGGGAAGAAAGUGAAUGGCUCAGGCCAGCAGAGGAAAUAGGACUGGGCAGGGGAAUUGGCUGUCAAAGGCCUGACUGCUGGCCAGCUCAGCAAGCAGCCCUGAGGCCUCUGCUGUCUGGCAUGGAAUCCCGAGGAGGCCUGAGCAGAGCACCCUGGUGGGCACCUGCCCAGUGAGGAAAAUACUGUCCACAGAGAAGGACUGUGCCCUUCUGGACUCAAAGCAAGAAAGGUUUCAGCCAGACCCAAGGAAGAGACCAAGGAAAGUCAAGGUGGUCAGCACUGAGAGACACCACCAGAGUUUUCACGUCAGAUGGUGCAUGCAGAAAGAAAGAAAGAGGCAAACAUCCACUGGGUACCUACUAUGUGCCCAUCACUGUAUUAGGUACUUUGGAGGCCAAAAAGAGUCAAGGGAAAGGGGAACCCUUAUCCUAGAGGGACAGGUGCUCUCGGACCUGAAAGAAGAUGCUGCUCUGACUUAUAAAGCAUGAGGUCAAACCAAGAGCACUGCCCUGAGAGCCAGAGGCGAGGUCCCACACUCAGCUCCCCCAGGCACCAGCUGUGUGACUUCAGGUAAGUUAUCAACUACAAGCCUCGGUUUCCUCAUUUGAACAACGAGGAUAAUGACAUCUUCCUCAAAGGGCUGUUGGAAAAACAAAAUUUAAAAACAAGACUAUACAUAGGACACUGAAGAGCUCAGUCCUGGCACCAGCUCAGAAUUCGGAACUAACUGUGUCAAGGAUGCAUGGAAAAGGAUCAGGGAGACGGGAACCUGGACCUGAGAGUGCCCUCAGGUGGGGCUCUGG